This 253-nucleotide ribosomal RNA is filed under the name uncultured bacterium. RNAcentral's name for it is "partial 16S ribosomal RNA". It matches the Rfam family "Bacterial small subunit ribosomal RNA", at positions 524 to 776 of the family's 1533-position model. The record is from RNAcentral.
UACGUAGGGUGCGAGCGUUGUCCGGAAUUAUUGGGCGUAAAGAGCUCGUAGGCGGUUUGUCACGUCUGCUGUGAAAUCCCGAGGCUCAACCUCGGGCCUGCAGUGGGUACGGGCAGACUGGAGUGCGGUAGGGGAGAAUGGAAUUCCUGGUGUAGCGGUGGAAUGCGCAGAUAUCAAGAGGAACACCGGUGGCGAAGGCGGCUCUCUGGGUCGGACCUGACGCUGAGGCGCGAAAGCGUGGGGAUCAAACAGG